This 76-nucleotide transfer RNA is filed under the name Bifidobacterium cuniculi. RNAcentral describes it as "tRNA-Ala". It matches the Rfam family "tRNA". From Rfam's summary of the family: Transfer RNA (tRNA) molecules are approximately 80 nucleotides in length. The record is from RNAcentral. Lineage: Bacteria; Bacillati; Actinomycetota; Actinomycetes; Bifidobacteriales; Bifidobacteriaceae.
GGGGCUAUAGCGCAGCUGGUAGCGCAUCUGCUUUGCAAGCAGAGGGUCCCCGGUUCGAACCCGGGUAGCUCCACCC